RNAcentral lists this unclassified non-coding RNA (240 nucleotides) under soil metagenome. Its description in RNAcentral is "partial contains 5.8S ribosomal RNA, internal transcribed spacer 2, and large subunit ribosomal RNA". The record is from RNAcentral.
AACCAUAGAAACCUGCGGAGUACCUGCGGAAGGAUCAUUACCGAGUGUAGACCCCCCAUAAAAAAGGGGGUCAACCUCCCGUCCUUUUGCUUGGGGCAUCCCCACUAACAUUGGGGGGUUGCUUUUAAGACCUGCUUCGGUGGGGUUUCCCCCCACCGGAAUACCCUCAAAAAUUCUUUGUAUAACCGUUCUGUCCGAGGGUUUUGAAAUAAAAGCGAAAAACUUUUAACAAUGGAUCUC